RNAcentral lists this microRNA (22 nucleotides) under Patiria miniata (bat star). Its description in RNAcentral is "pmi-miR-2006-5p". The record is from miRBase by way of RNAcentral. Lineage: Eukaryota; Metazoa; Echinodermata; Asteroidea; Valvatida; Asterinidae.
CAUCGCCACCAGGUGUACUUCA